Molecule: ribosomal RNA, 463 nt
Filed under: Ascomycota sp. ARIZ D1 15D06011
Lineage: Eukaryota; Fungi; Ascomycota
Description: eukaryotic LSU rRNA
Rfam family: 5.8S ribosomal RNA (bases 89-242)
Source: RNAcentral
CUUGUUUCCUUGGUGGGUUCGCCCACCACUAGGACAAACAUAAACCUUUUGUAAUUGCAAUCAGCGUCAGUAACAAAUUAAUAAUUACAACUUUCAACAACGGAUCUCUUGGUUCUGGCAUCGAUGAAGAACGCAGCGAAAUGCGAUAAGUAGUGUGAAUUGCAGAAUUCAGUGAAUCAUCGAAUCUUUGAACGCACAUUGCGCCCUUUGGUAUUCCAAAGGGCAUGCCUGUUCGAGCGUCAUUUGUACCCUCAAGCUUUGCUUGGUGUUGGGCGUCUUGUCUCUAGCUUUGCUGGAGACUCGCCUUAAAGUAAUUGGCAGCCGGCCUACUGGUUUCGGAGCGCAGCACAAGUCGCACUCUCUAUCAGCAAAGGUCUAGCAUCCAUUAAGCCUUUUUUUCAACUUUUGACCUCGGAUCAGGUAGGGAUACCCGCUGAACUUAAGCAUAUCAAUAAGCGGAGGA